Molecule: ribosomal RNA, 254 nt
Filed under: uncultured bacterium
Lineage: Bacteria
Description: partial 16S ribosomal RNA
Rfam family: Bacterial small subunit ribosomal RNA
Source: RNAcentral
UACGUAGGUGGCAAGCGUUGUCCGGAUUUAUUGGGUUUAAAGGGUGCGUAGGCGGUUCUGUAAGUCAGUGGUGAAAUACUCUAGCUUAACUAGAGGGGUGCCAAUGAUACUGCAGAACUUGAGUACAGAUGAGGUAGGCGGAAUUGACGGUGUAGCGGUGGAAUGCGUAGAGAUCCGGAGGAAGACCGGUGGCGAAGGCGGCCUGCUGGGCAGUUACUGACACUGAGGCGCGACGAGCGUGGGGAGCAAACAGG